Molecule: non-coding RNA, 78 nt
Organism: Lentinula detonsa
Lineage: Eukaryota; Fungi; Basidiomycota; Agaricomycetes; Agaricales; Omphalotaceae
Source: the annotation of a GenBank genome assembly
GGCCGCCUGGCGAAAUGGCAUCGCGUCUGACUACGAAUAGUUAUCAGGAGAUUGCAGGUUCGACCCCUGCGGUGGUCA